UAGCCGUGGCGGGCGUGCUAUACAUGCAAGUCGAGCGGGGUUACUUAGAAGCUUGCUUCUAAUUAACCUAGCGGCGGACGGGUGAGUAACACGUAGGCAACCUGCCCACAAGACAGGGAUAACUACCGGAAACGGUAGCUAAUACCCGAUACAUCCUUUUCCUGCAUGGGAGAAGGAGGAAAGGCGGAGCAAUCUGUCACUUGUGGAUGGGCCUGCGGCGCAUUAGCUAGUUGGUGGGGUAAUGGCCUACCAAGGCGACGAUGCGUAGCCGACCUGAGAGGGUGAUCGGCCACACUGGGACUGAGACACGGCCCAGACUCCUACGGGAGGCAGCAGUAGGGAAUCUUCCGCAAUGGGCGAAAGCCUGACGGAGCAACGCCGCGUGAGUGAUGAAGGUUUUCGGAUCGUAAAGCUCUGUUGCCAGGGAAGAACGUCUUAUAGAGUAACUGCUAUAAGAGUGACGGUACCUGAGAAGAAAGCCCCGGCUAACUACGUGCCAGCAGCCGCGGUAAUACGUAGGGGGCAAGCGUUGUCCGGAAUUAUUGGGCGUAAAGCGCGCGCAGGCGGCUCUUUAAGUCUGGUGUUUAAUCCCGAGGCUCAACUUCGGGUCGCACUGGAAACUGGGAGAGCUUGAGUGCAGAAGAGGAGAGUGGAAUUCCACGUGUAGCGGUGAAAUGCGUAGAGAUGUGGAGGAACACCAGUGGCCGAAGGCGACUCUCUGGGGCUGUUACUGACGCUGAGGCGCGAAAGCGUGGGGGAGCAAACCAGGAUUAGAUACCCUGGUAGUCCACGCCGU
RNAcentral lists this ribosomal RNA (796 nucleotides) under Paenibacillus polymyxa. RNAcentral's name for it is "bacterial SSU rRNA". It matches the Rfam family "Bacterial small subunit ribosomal RNA", at positions 31 to 803 of the family's 1533-position model. The record is from RNAcentral. Lineage: Bacteria; Bacillati; Bacillota; Bacilli; Caryophanales; Paenibacillaceae.